RNAcentral lists this long non-coding RNA (306 nucleotides) under Gallus gallus (chicken). Its description in RNAcentral is "lncRNA (ENSGALG00010026358.1)". Lineage: Eukaryota; Metazoa; Chordata; Aves; Galliformes; Phasianidae. The record is from RNAcentral.
CUCGGAUGUAAAAGCACAGAAGGCAUGAUGCACCACAAUCACUUCUCAGUGGAGCAAAGAAUUUUCUAGCAUUAAUGGGAAAGCCCUUAGUAAAAAGGAAGAACUAGAAACACCUUCCCCAUCUCAUCUCAAGAGGAACUCUGAAGACCAGAAAGAGAUAAUGUGCUGUAAUAACAUGUUCUCUCUGAUCCACUAACAAGGAAUAAUCCUUUUUGAAACACUUUCUUGGUGACUUUGUCAGCGGUGUUACAGCUGCUUUCACUUUGCAUCAGCAACAGCGUAGACACAUGAACAAGUGGCGUGAGG